AUUGAACGCUGGCGGCAGGCCUAACACAUGCAAGUCGAACGGUAACAGGAAGCAGCUUGCUGCUUUGCUGACGAGUGGCGGACGGGUGAGUAAUGUCUGGGAAACUGCCUGAUGGAGGGGGAUAACUACUGGAAACGGUAGCUAAUACCGCAUAACGUCGCAAGACCAAAGAGGGGGACCUUCGGGCCUCUUGCCAUCGGAUGUGCCCAGAUGGGAUUAGCUAGUAGGUGGGGUAACGGCUCACCUAGGCGACGAUCCCUAGCUGGUCUGAGAGGAUGACCAGCCACACUGGAACUGAGACACGGUCCAGACUCCUACGGGAGGCAGCAGUGGGGAAUGUUGCACAAUGGGCGCAAGCCUGAUGCAGCCAUGCCGCGUGUAUGAAGAAGGCCUUCGGGUUGUAAAGUACUUUCAGCGGGGAGGAAGGGAGUAAAGUUAAUACCUUUGCUCAUUGACGUUACCCGCAGAAGAAGCACCGGCUAACUCCGUG
This 490-nucleotide ribosomal RNA is filed under the name uncultured bacterium. RNAcentral describes it as "partial 16S ribosomal RNA". It matches the Rfam family "Bacterial small subunit ribosomal RNA", at positions 30 to 507 of the family's 1533-position model. The record is from RNAcentral.